GUAGUGUAGUGCAGCGCAGCACGUGUGCUCGUUUCUGUGUGUGUGAGAGAGAGAGAGAGACAGAUUACCCUGUACUUUUAAUUCCCCGUCAUAAUCCAUGGAUCUAUUAACCAUGGGCCUACAGUAUUAACCUCUGGUGGGUUUGGUGUGGUAAUCCACAGUUUGUGUUGAUUCAACCAGUGUUUGCCUAGUGGGUAGUUUGUGUUGGGAUGGUCACAGGUAGAUCUGUAACAAUCGCAGAUAGAGAGACAGAGCUGGAAAAGGAAUCAGCCAUGACUAACCAGUGACCAGCCAGUCCUGGAGCCUUACAUGCUGACCAGAGCGAACAUGUUGUGUGCGCAAGGGUUGCAAAAUAAAUGUACAUAUACACAUUAUUCAGUCAUUGCACUCACACUGCUCGUGGGCAUCAGCGAGCGACUGCAUGGCCAGGCGCUAAAAUAGAAAUCGGUUCUAUUUGGGACGCUCAACAUGCUGCCAGUCCGGCCUCUCCCAUCUCCUCAUAGGUUUUUAAGAGCAUAUACCCACGUGCCAUCUCCUCAUAGGUUUUUAGAAGCAUAUACCCACGUGCCAUCUCCUCAUAGGUUUUUAAGAGCAUAUACCCACGUGCCAUCUCCUCAUAGGUUUUUAGAAGCAUAUACCCACGUGCCAUCUCCUCAUAGGUUUUUAGAAGCAUAUACCCACGUGCCAUCUCCUCAUAGGUUUUUAAGAGCAUAUACCCACAUGGGUGAUUGAAAGAUUAAUUUAGGUCCACACUCCGGUAGGUUGUAGUAAUGCUGUAAAGUUGGUUGCCAACUGCCAUAUUAAGUCAAAAAUAACAAGAAGAAGCCUGAGGAAGGAGGAGAGAUGACAAGAAAGGAAUUCGGUUUACAGUUUUAUCUGUGGAUUAAUUGUGGGUGUAGAGGACCUUGUGCAUUUCAGGUCAAAUAAGAACCCAAUGUUUGUAUCCCAGGACAAAUUAGCUGGCAACAGCAAGCUAGCUAGCUAAAUUGUCAUAAAUGUUUAAUGAUUUUCG
Molecule: long non-coding RNA, 1012 nt
Filed under: Salmo salar (Atlantic salmon)
Lineage: Eukaryota; Metazoa; Chordata; Actinopteri; Salmoniformes; Salmonidae
Description: lncRNA (ENSSSAG00000089678.1)
Source: RNAcentral